Molecule: unclassified non-coding RNA, 1196 nt
Filed under: Leishmania donovani
Lineage: Eukaryota; Euglenozoa; Kinetoplastea; Trypanosomatida; Trypanosomatidae
Description: gene:unknown
Source: RNAcentral
CACUACCACCACGUCUCCUGGGUGCCGCGUUCUUGGUGGUCGCUGCCGUCGCACACGAAUCGCACCGCUGUGGCGCAUCUGUCUCCUCUCUUUCCUUCUCUGCAUCAUGCACACGCGUCCCAAGACAGAGGCUACCAUCUCUACCUUCCUCCGUCACCCCACACGUAAGCGCGCGCACACACUCUCAGCGGCUGCGGUGGCGAGCACCGACGUCGGUGCCGACGAUGGCGGUGUGCCACGCGAGAGAGCAGUUUUGUAUGCGAGGCAAGCGUGUGCGUGGUUACAGCAAUCUCAAUAGCAAUGUGUAUGCACGUUCGCUUCGUGUGUGUGUGGCUGUCUCAUGGAACCGGCACAAGACACUGCUGUCGUUCUUGCUUUGUUUCUCUCGCAUUCCCUGGGCGAUCGAGGGGCCAUCCUUGGCUCCUGUUUCCAUCCGCUCUCCCUCUCUGUCUGUGAGUGAGUGUACACGCGGCAUCUAGCUGCAGCUUCCAAAGUCCCUACUUUUGCUCUUCGCUGCCUGAUUGACUCCUCUACGGAUAUGACGACGAAACUGGGUACCUUGCUGGGCGCUGCAGAGCAAUCAAAGAAGCGGAGAACAGCCGCGCCGCGCAUCCAGGCCAGAGAGAGAGGUGUAAGGCAAAGUACACUCAUGUGCCUCGUGCGCCUUCCCUUCCUCCUUCUGCCCCUCUGCCAGGAGCGCCCGCUGCGGCGCCGGCAUCUCGUCCACACGCGCGGGCCCGCCUGUGCUAUGCCGUGAUAAUGUGAGAAAGAGAGAAAUGAUGACCUCGUGGGUGUCCGACGCGCGCCUCCAGUUUGUCCCCUGCGCGCGGCGUCACACCCGCGCGCACGCACGACGGAGAGAGCAACGGACGGUGCCGAGCCGCCCACAGCGCCACUGGCACCACAUACUGGGGCGUCCCCCCUGCGCCGAACCGCUGUCGGAAAGGCGCGGGCAGUCCCACCCUCCACGCACGCGCACUGGCACGCGUCGGCGCACCUGCCGGCACGCAAGCACACACGCACACGUACACGCGCGCGCAUCGACGCGCUCACAGGCGUCCGCGCCGCUAUGCACCAGCACCAGCAGCGUCUGCUCGGGCACGCACAUACGCACGCCACCGCCACCACCGCGGCGGGCGACGCCGAGGGGCCCACAAGCAAACCCGUUGUCCUCCCUCUUCCUUGUCGCCCCGCAG